Molecule: ribosomal RNA, 407 nt
Filed under: uncultured bacterium
Lineage: Bacteria
Description: partial 16S ribosomal RNA
Rfam family: Bacterial small subunit ribosomal RNA
Source: RNAcentral
AUUGAACGCUGGCGGCAGGCCUAACACAUGCAAGUCGAGCGGAGCGGCGGACGGGCGUGUAAUGCCUAGGUAUAUGCCUGGUAGAGGGGGAUAACGUACGGAUACGGGAGCUAAUACCGCAUACUAUCAGAUGAGCGUAGGUCGGUUUAGCUAGUUGGUGGGGUAAGGGCCUACCAAGGCGACGAUCCGUAACUGGUCUGAGAGGAUGAUCAGUCACACGGGAACUGAGACACGGUCCAGACUCCUACGGGAGGCAGCAGUGGUGAAUAUUGGACAAUGGGCGAAAGCCUGAUCCAGCCAUGCCGCGUGUGUGAAGAAGGUCUUCGGGUUGUAAAGCACUUUAAGUUGGGAGGCGUGACCAACAGAAUAAGCACCGGCUAACUUCGUGCCAGCAGCAGCGGUAAUUC